Acanthosepion pharaonis is the source of this 112-nucleotide non-coding RNA. Lineage: Eukaryota; Metazoa; Mollusca; Cephalopoda; Sepiida; Sepiidae. The record is from the annotation of a GenBank genome assembly.
ACGGCCUCAUCACAUUGUAACAUCGGUUCCCAUACGAUCACUGAAUUUAAGCAACGUCGAUCCAGGUCAGUAACUAUAUGGGGGACUACUUAGGAACACCAGGUGCUGUAAG